This 520-nucleotide ribosomal RNA is filed under the name uncultured bacterium. RNAcentral describes it as "bacterial SSU rRNA". It matches the Rfam family "Bacterial small subunit ribosomal RNA", at positions 991 to 1509 of the family's 1533-position model. The record is from RNAcentral.
GCGAACUUGGCAGAGAUGCCUUGGUGCCUUCGGGAACGCUGAGACAGGUGCUGCAUGGCUGUCGUCAGCUCGUGUUGUGAAAUGUUGGGUUAAGUCCCGNAACGAGCGCAACCCUUUAUCCCUUUGUUGCCAGCGAUUCGGUCGGGAACUCAAAGGAGACUGCCGGUGAUAAACCGGAGGAAGGUGGGGAUGACGUCAAGUCAUCAUGGCCCUUACGAGUAGGGCUACACACGUGCUACAAUGGCGCAUACAAAGAGAAGCGACCUCGCGAGAGCAAGCGGACCUCAUAAAGUGCGUCGUAGUCCGGAUCGGAGUCUGCAACUCGACUCCGUGAAGUCGGAAUCGCUAGUAAUCGUGGAUCAGAAUGCCACGGUGAAUACGUUCCCGGGCCUUGUACACACCGCCCGUCACACCAUGGGAGUGGGUUGCAAAAGAAGUAGGUAGCUUAACCUUCGGGAGGGCGCUUACCACUUUGUGAUUCAUGACUGGGGUGAAGUCGUAACAAGGUAAGCGUAGCGAG